Molecule: transfer RNA, 71 nt
Filed under: Cricetulus griseus (Chinese hamster)
Lineage: Eukaryota; Metazoa; Chordata; Mammalia; Rodentia; Cricetidae
Rfam family: tRNA
About the family: Transfer RNA (tRNA) molecules are approximately 80 nucleotides in length. Their secondary structure includes four short double-helical elements and three loops (D, anti-codon, and T loops). Further hydrogen bonds mediate the characteristic L-shaped molecular structure. tRNAs have two regions of fundamental functional importance: the anti-codon, which is responsible for specific mRNA codon recognition, and the 3' end, to which the tRNAs corresponding amino acid is attached (by aminoacyl-tRNA synthetases). tRNAs cope with the degeneracy of the genetic code in two manners: having more than one tRNA (with a specific anti-codon) for a particular amino acid; and 'wobble' base-pairing, i.e. permitting non-standard base-pairing at the 3rd anti-codon position.
Source: Rfam by way of RNAcentral
GUGGCUGUGGCUCAGUUGGUAAAGUAUGUGCCUAGCACACACUAGGUCUGGGUUCGAUCCCCAGCACCACA